GUCCACGCCGUAAACGAUGGGUGCUAGCCAUAUCGGGGUGUUGACCCAAAGGUGUGGCGAAGCUAACGCGUUAAGCACCCCGCCUGGGGAGUACGGGUCGCAAGAUUAAAAACUCAAAAGGAAUUGACGGGGGCCCGCGACAAGCGGUGGAGUAUGUGGUUUAAUUCGAAGCAACGCGAAGAACCUUACCUAGCCUUGACAUGCCUGGAAGCCUGAUGAAAGUUGGGUGUGCUCGCAAGAGAGCCAGGACACAGGUGCUGCAUGGCUGUCGC
This 272-nucleotide ribosomal RNA is filed under the name uncultured bacterium. Its description in RNAcentral is "partial 16S ribosomal RNA". It matches the Rfam family "Bacterial small subunit ribosomal RNA", at positions 793 to 1055 of the family's 1533-position model. The record is from RNAcentral.